This 492-nucleotide ribosomal RNA is filed under the name uncultured bacterium. RNAcentral describes it as "partial 16S ribosomal RNA". It matches the Rfam family "Bacterial small subunit ribosomal RNA", at positions 29 to 507 of the family's 1533-position model. The record is from RNAcentral.
AGUGAACGCUGGCGGUAGGCCUAACACAUGCAAGUCGAACGGCAGCACAGUGAGAGCUUGCUCUUACGGGUGGCGAGUGGCGGACGGGUGAGGAAUACAUCGGAAUCUACUUUUUCGUGGGGGAUAACGUAGGGAAACUUACGCUAAUACCGCAUACGACCUACGGGUGAAAGCAGGGGAUCUUCGGACCUUGCGCGAUUGAAUGAGCCGAUGUCGGAUUAGCUAGUUGGCGGGGUAAAGGCCCACCAAGGCGACGAUCUGUAGCUGGUCUGAGAGGAUGAUCAGCCACACUGGAACUGAGACACGGUCCAGACUCCUACGGGAGGCAGCAGUGGGGAAUAUUGGACAAUGGGCGCAAGCCUGAUCCAGCCAUACCGCGUGGGUGAAGAAGGCCUUCGGGUUGUAAAGCCCUUUUGUUGGGAAAGAAAAGCAGCAGGUUAAUACCCCGCUGUUCUGACGGUACCCAAAGAAUAAGCACCGGCUAACUUCGUG